Long non-coding RNA from Agelaius phoeniceus (red-winged blackbird), 1645 nucleotides. RefSeq lists it as uncharacterized. The record is from RefSeq and is a predicted model, not a curated record. NCBI's taxonomy places the organism in Eukaryota, Metazoa, Chordata, Aves, Passeriformes, Icteridae.
CGGGACCCGCUCGGGGCAGCCGGGGGAAGGUGCGGAACGGACAGAACGCUGCAGACAGACAGCCCCGGCAAGGGGGAAAGGCCGCGGGGCCGAGGCGUCCCCCAGCUGCAGCGUCUCCAGAGCUCAGGGACAGCAGGAGCUGCUGCCCCUCAGAGCUCGGGUGCUCUGGCAGCGCUGGAGACACGGCUGAGCAGCGGCCUCAGAAGCCCCAAAGGGGCUCCAAGAGCCAAGGACAGAGACUUUGGACAAGGGCCUGGAGUGACAGGACACAGGGUGUCCAGCACUGCCCAGAUGCCUCAGGGUGACACACGGGGCCCUGGUUCAGGUUUCCAGACAGUGGCACCAGGUCAGGAGAGGGUGACCUGCUCUGGGAAUGCACCUGACUCCUGUGACAGCACCAUCAUCCACAUACCAGAAGAAUGAAACAGUGACUGAAAACAUCCACCAAGUGCCUGUGAGCAGGGUUGCACAGACCACAGCUUUAUUUCACAAGAAAAAGUUGGAACUCGGGUUUGAUCUUACCAAAGGAGCCUCUGUGAACUUCUCAGGUGUAAAUUCCCUUGUCUUAUCUUUGAAUAUUCAUUUCAGAGAAGUCAAAUGAUAGAAGAGGUGGGCAAAGUAUACCCAGGAGUAAAAUAUUGCCAGUUUCUGUCAGCAGGGAACUUUCUGUCCAGUGCAGUUAAUCCUGACCAUCAUCCAGCAGCUUCCCCAGUAAAAUUGUAGGGUUGGGUUCAUUUAUUAAGAGUAAAAAAGAAAAAUAAAAAAGCCAAAAGGUGGAGAAGCCCAAGUUUAUAACAGCUUGAGGAAACUUCAAUGAGGGUCACAUUUCUGAGUGCAGCAGAAUUCUAUGGAAACUUAAAUUUUGCUUCUGUGUAGAGGAAAACCCUGGGAAAUUCACUAUAAAUCUUUUUUCUUUUGCAUAUUUCCCUUAUUAGUAGAAACACAGUCAUCUAACCGAGGUGUUACAGUCACUCUUUGGAAGGUUCAAUGCAGACUAAUUGAAACCAGGUAAUUAUUAUUGUUGCUGAGGUUGUUGCCAGGCACUUGCCCCACACAGUUGUGGCCUCUGCAGCCUUUCCUGCCCAUCUGGGGCAGAAUUUCAACAUCACAGCAAAACUUUAUGAACUGAAGUUUCACAGAAAUAAAUCCUUGCAGGAUCCAAUUUGGACAGGCUGUUUCUUUCAUCUCCCGAGGCAGUGCUGUGUUCCCAGCAUGGAUGAAAGGGAAUAUUUUCAGGAAUAAAAUCCCCUGGGAUUUCUGUAACCAUGGUAACACAUAUAGAUAGCAGGCCUGCUUCCAACCCAGGUUUUAUUGUUCCAGCAGUAAAGAACUGGGUUCUACAAAUAACCAUCCUGGAAUAAAGUACUGCCCUUUUGCUUUCCCAGCAAAAUAAAAUUUUAAAAAUGUAAUAUAUUGCUACAGUUAAACAUUCAGGAUAAAGUGCCAAGAUCAGCUCUGUCAUAAAUCUAACUGGGAUGUCUUGUUUCCUAAGCCACAGUGAGAAAGGGGAGAGUAUUCAGAUAUUUAAUGAAUACCAGAUAAAUAUGAAUAUUUUUGUAAGAAUAAAUUCAUAUUUCACUGCUGAAUAAAUACCAGAACUUAAGCUUGUAAUAAGAAUUAAAAAAUAAAAAGCAUCCCCAUCAAA